Molecule: transfer RNA, 65 nt
Filed under: Dipodomys ordii (Ord's kangaroo rat)
Lineage: Eukaryota; Metazoa; Chordata; Mammalia; Rodentia; Heteromyidae
Rfam family: tRNA
About the family: Transfer RNA (tRNA) molecules are approximately 80 nucleotides in length. Their secondary structure includes four short double-helical elements and three loops (D, anti-codon, and T loops).
Source: Rfam by way of RNAcentral
GGUGGCUCAGUGGUAGAGUGCAUGCCUAGCAAGCAUGAGGCCCUGGGUUCAAUUCCUCAGCACCA